AGGGAUAUAACUCAGCGGUAGAGUGCCACCUUGACGUGGUGGAAGUCAUCAGUUCGAGUCUGAUUAUCCCUA
Non-coding RNA from Oryza nivara, 72 nucleotides. The record is from Rfam. NCBI's taxonomy places the organism in Eukaryota, Viridiplantae, Streptophyta, Magnoliopsida, Poales, Poaceae.